Molecule: non-coding RNA, 73 nt
Organism: Trichonephila clavipes
Lineage: Eukaryota; Metazoa; Arthropoda; Arachnida; Araneae; Nephilidae
Source: the annotation of a GenBank genome assembly
GUCCCUGUAGCGCAAUGGAUAGCGCAUCGGGCUUAUAAUCCUGAGGUCAUGAGUUCAAAUCUCACCUGGGAUG